Molecule: ribosomal RNA, 691 nt
Filed under: uncultured Acidovorax sp.
Lineage: Bacteria; Pseudomonadati; Pseudomonadota; Betaproteobacteria; Burkholderiales; Comamonadaceae
Description: bacterial SSU rRNA
Rfam family: Bacterial small subunit ribosomal RNA
Source: RNAcentral
GGUAACAGGUCUUCGGAUGCUGACGAGUGGCGAACGGGUGAGUAAUACAUCGGAACGUGCCCGAUCGUGGGGGAUAACGAAGCGAAAGCUUUGCUAAUACCGCAUACGAUCUACGGAUGAAAGCAGGGGACCGCAAGGCCUUGCGCGAACGGAGCGGCCGAUGGCAGAUUAGGUAGUUGGUGGGGUAAAGGCUUACCAAGCCUACGAUCUGUAGCUGGUCUGAGAGGACGACCAGCCACACUGGGACUGAGACACGGCCCAGACUCCUACGGGAGGCAGCAGUGGGGAAUUUUGGACAAUGGGCGCAAGCCUGAUCCAGCAAUGCCGCGUGCAGGAUGAAGGCCUUCGGGUUGUAAACUGCUUUUGUACGGAACGAAAAGGCUCUGGUUAAUACCUGGGGCUCAUGACGGUACCGUAAGAAUAAGCACCGGCUAACUACGUGCCAGCAGCCGCGGUAAUACGUAGGGUGCGAGCGUUAAUCGGAAUUACUGGGCGUAAAGCGUGCGCAGGCGGUUAUGUAAGACAGAGGUGAAAUCCCCGGGCUCAACCUGGGAACUGCCUUUGUGACUGCAUAGCUAGAGUACGGCAGAGGGGGAUGGAAUUCCGCGUGUAGCAGUGAAAUGCGUAGAUAUGCGGAGGAACACCGAUGGCGAAGGCAAUCCCCUGGGCCUGUACUGACGCUCAUGCACGA